RNAcentral lists this ribosomal RNA (645 nucleotides) under uncultured Faecalibacterium sp. Its description in RNAcentral is "bacterial SSU rRNA". It matches the Rfam family "Bacterial small subunit ribosomal RNA", at positions 28 to 686 of the family's 1533-position model. The record is from RNAcentral. Lineage: Bacteria; Bacillati; Bacillota; Clostridia; Eubacteriales; Oscillospiraceae.
GACGAACGCUGGCGGCGCGCCUAACACAUGCAAGUCGAACGAGAGAUGAGGAGCUUGCUCUUCAAAUCGAGUGGCGAACGGGUGAGUAACGCGUGAGGAACCUGCCUCAAAGAGGGGGACAACAGUUGGAAACGACUGCUAAUACCGCAUAAGCCCACGGCUCGGCAUCGAGCAGAGGGAAAAGGAGCAAUCCGCUUUGGGAUGGCCUCGCGUCCGAUUAGCUGGUUGGUGAGGUAACGGCCCACCAAGGCGACGAUCGGUAGCCGGACUGAGAGGUUGAACGGCCACAUUGGGACUGAGACACGGCCCAGACUCCUACGGGAGGCAGCAGUGGGGAAUAUUGCACAAUGGGGGAAACCCUGAUGCAGCGACGCCGCGUGGAGGAAGAAGGUCUUCGGAUUGUAAACUCCUGUUGUUGAGGAAGAUAAUGGCGGUACUCAACAAGGAAGUGACGGCUAACUACGUGCCAGCAGCCGCGGUAAAACGUAGGUCACAAGCGUUGUCCGGUAUUACUGGGUGUAAAGGGAGCGCAGGCGGGAGAACAAGUUGGAAGUGAAAUCCAUGGGCUCAACCCAUGAACUGCUUUCAAAACUGUUUUUCUUGAGUAGUGCAGAGGUAGGCGGAAUUCCCGGUGUAGCGGUGGAA